CCUAUCAUGCAAGUCGAGCGCGGGAAAGCGAGUGGAUCCCUUCGGGGUGAAGCUCGUGGAACGAGCGGCGGACGGGUGAGUAACACGUGGGCAACCUGCCUGUAAGACCGGAAUAACCCCGGGAAACCGGGGCUAAUGCCGGGUAAUACUUUUCUUCGCAUGAAGGAAAGUUGAAAGAUGGCUUCUUGCUAUCACUUACAGAUGGGCCCGCGGCGCAUUAGCUAGUUGGUGAGGUAACGGCUCACCAAGGCGACGAUGCGUAGCCGACCUGAGAGGGUGAUCGGCCACACUGGGACUGAGACACGGCCCAGACUCCUACGGGAGGCAGCAGUAGGGAAUCUUCCGCAAUGGACGAAAGUCUGACGGAGCAACGCCGCGUGAACGAUGAAGGUCUUCGGAUCGUAAAGUUCUGUUGUUAGGGAAGAACAAGUACCGUGCGAAUAGAGCGGUACCUUGACGGUACCUAACGAGGAAGCCCCGGCUAACUACGUGCCAGCAGCCGCGGUAAUACGUAGGGGGCAAGCGUUGUCCGGAAUUAUUGGGCGUAAAGCGCGCGCAGGCGGUUCCUUAAGUCUGAUGUGAAAGCCCACGGCUCAACCGUGGAGGGUCAUUGGAAACUGGGGAACUUGAGGACAGAAGAGGAGAGUGGAAUUCCACGUGUAGCGGUGAAAUGCGUAGAUAUGUGGAGGAACACCAGUGGCGAAGGCGACUCUCUGGUCUGUUUCUGACGCUGAGGUGCGAAAGCGUGGGUAGCAAACAGGGAUUAGAUACCCUGGUAGUCCACGCCGUAAACGAUGAGUGCUAGGUGUUAGGGGGCUUCCACCCCUUAGUGCUGAAGUUNA
RNAcentral lists this ribosomal RNA (842 nucleotides) under Halobacillus sp. AB6. RNAcentral's name for it is "bacterial SSU rRNA". It matches the Rfam family "Bacterial small subunit ribosomal RNA", at positions 47 to 855 of the family's 1533-position model. The record is from RNAcentral. Lineage: Bacteria; Bacillati; Bacillota; Bacilli; Caryophanales; Bacillaceae.